GCCCAGCCGUAAACUUUUAUCUACAUUUUAAUCGCCAGGGAACUACGAGCUAAGCUUAAAACCCAAAGGACUUGACGGUACCCCAUAUCCCCCUAGAGGAGCCUGUCCUGUAAUCGAUAAUCCACGUUUAACCUCACCAUUUUUAGUUAAUCAGCCUGUAUACCUCCGUCGUCAGCUUACCACGUGAGCGUAGAUUAGUGAGCUCAAUGUUAUUUUACCAACACGUCAGGUCAAGGUGCAGCAAAUGAAGUGGGAAGAGAUGGGCUACACUUUCUAUUAUAGAAAAAACGAAAAACUACUUAUGAAAUUCUAGUUGGAAGGCGGAUUUAGCAGUAAAAGGGAAUCAGUAUGUCCCUUUUAACUCGGCACUGGGGUGUGUACACACCGCCCGUCACCCU
Molecule: ribosomal RNA, 398 nt
Filed under: Bufo sp. 'Botsalano'
Lineage: Eukaryota; Metazoa; Chordata; Amphibia; Anura; Bufonidae
Description: partial 12S ribosomal RNA
Rfam family: Bacterial small subunit ribosomal RNA
Source: RNAcentral